Long non-coding RNA from Eurytemora carolleeae, 311 nucleotides. RefSeq lists it as uncharacterized. The record is from RefSeq and is a predicted model, not a curated record. NCBI's taxonomy places the organism in Eukaryota, Metazoa, Arthropoda, Copepoda, Calanoida, Temoridae. The transcript has 3 exons.
UGAUUUCUUUUAAAAUACAAAGCAACAUUUAAAACAAUUAUUUCAGGGUGAACUGUGCUGAAAGGCCUAUUUGUGAUGAUAACUAUAAACAUUGCCAAUGCCAGGGUGCUCCUAUAGUUGAUCCUGAGCAUAAAUGUCCCCCUGGAGCUGGUGCUAAGGUUCUAGGCGACCCUUUCAACUGCAAUAUUUCUCUUGUCUGUAUUGAUGGGACACUAUCAACAAUUGUCAACUGUGAAAAGGAGAAACCCUAUUACGACGAGAAACGUUUUGGUUGCUCUUCUGAUCCUGCUGUUUGCGAACUUAGGCAAAAU